AUGGCGGAGUUCGCGCUUGGGUUGACCAAGUCGGCGGUGGAGGGGGCGCUAAGCAGGGUGAAGUCGGCGAUCGAGGAGGAGGAUAAGCAGAGGGUGCGUGUUCAGGACGACCUGGUGUUCAUCACCGGGGAAUUUCAAAUGAUGCAGUCCUUUCUCGGCGUCGCCAACGCCGAGCGCGCCAACAACACGGUGGUACGGACAUGGGUGAAGCAGCUCCGCGACCUGGCCUUCGAUGUCGAGGACUGCGUUGAGUUCGUCAUCCACCUCGACAAACCGUCGCGCUUGGACUGGGUGCGGCGCUUCACCUCGUCCGUCAUCUGCAUCACAAGGCCGCCGCUGCCCCUGGACGUGGCGGUUGCAGACAUCAAGCGGCUCAAGACCAGGGUGGAGGAUGUAAGCCAGAGGAACACACGCUACAACCUCAUAAGUGACUCCGGCUCCAGCUCCAACUCUGCAGUUACUGUUGUCUCUACUCCGGCAGUAGAGCUUAAGCCGGCCAGCGCAGGACCAACAUUGCAUAGUAUCCUAUGCAAGGUGUGGGAGGAAGCGGGGAGGAAGCGAUGCGGCACGGAUGAUCUCAAGAAGCUGAUCAUCAGAGGAGGGGGUGGCCUUGAAGUCAUCUCCCUAUGGGGAAGUCAAGAGGUUGCACAUCUUGGGGUAACACAUGUUAUUAGGGAGGCGUACAAUGAUCCACAAAUCCGCCAAGAUUUCAGUAUCUGUGCACGGGUAAAGCUGCUACAUCCAUUUAUCCUUGACGAGUUCCUCAAGAGCUUUCUCGCUCAGUUCAACACACUGCGGCAAAGGAGCACUAGGCGUUCUCACCUCAGGCAGCAUAUGAAAGAGCAUAGGUAUCUAGUCAUCUUGGAAGAUGUACGCACUGCGGCAGAGUUGGAUGACAUCAGAGAGUAUCUGCCGGACACUAACAAUGGCAGCCGGAUAGUCGUGUCAACACAGCAAUUGGGGCUGGCGAUUUCCUGCUUGUGGAAGUCGUACCAGGUAGCGGAGCUCAGAAAGUUCUCUCAUGGUCAAUCGCUUUAUGCAUUUAUCAACAAGGUUCCUGAUUGUCGCAGUGAUAUGAGCGAAUUUAUUUGGCAAUUAAGAUGUGGUGGUGUGGUCUCCGUUUGGGGCAACAGUGAAUCAACUACUAUCCUUGAUAGCGUGUACACCAGUAUAACCCAUAAGUCGAAAGCAUUUGAGAACGAGGGAGUAGAAUUUGAAAAACACAGCUGGGUCGAGGUACCCAGUCCAUUUAAAUUUGAUGUCUUCUCCCGGCGUCUUCUUCUGAGUUUCCAUGGUGAUGAUUUUGUCGCCCAAGAAGUUGCAGCAGUGGGUAGGAUGGGACACCAAGGUGUAGUUCAACGGUGUCAGAGGUUUCUACAAGAAUACAAGUGCCUCGUAGUUAUUAAUGGUCUGGAAAACAAGGAUGAUUGGGACUCGAUAAAAUCUACCUUCUUAUCCAUGUCUACUAAUGGUUGUAUUCUUGCCAUUACACAUCCCAGUGUAACAGACGCAGGUGUACUAGCAAGAUAUUGUGUAGAUGAGGAAGAUCGAGCAAUCAACAUCCAGUAUUUGGAAUCCGACUCCAUGCUCCGUCACUUGAUAAAGGGUUCUCGAAUCUAUGGAAUUGGAGGCAAGCAGGCUUGUCGGAGGGGUCGUCUUUUUUCCGUCAGGAGGGAAGAGGCACGCAUCUGGACCAAACAAUUUCGUCAUGUUGUAGGAGCAAGCUUUCUUCAUCACUGUUUUAGAGAUAGUACCGUGUUGUCCCUGUGGGGAACAGACGGCGCUCAGAAAUCGCCUUUCAUCAGAAAAGCGUACUACUACCAACUGCUUCUGAGCCAAAAUGACAAUAUAGUCAAAAGGAUAUUCGAUGAUGGCUAUAUUAACUUGAAAUUUACAAAGUUCAGCUGGGUUGAUGUGCCGCACCCAUUUAAUUUGGUGGACUUGUCUUGGCGUUUACUUUUGGAUUUCCAUUCUGAUGAUCUCCAAGCCAAGGAAAUGUUAGCAGUCAGUAUGAUGGAAGGCCAGGAUGACCCAAUUCAACUGUGUCUUAAGUUCAUGAGUGAAGACAGAUGCUUCAUUGUUAUUAAUGAUCUGCGCUGUACAGGUGAUUGGGACUCUAUAAGGGAUGCCUUCUCGUGGUCAAAGGGUAUAAAAAGUUCUAUUGUUAUCAUGACAAAUGAAGAAAGUGUCGCCACAUAUUGUACAGAUAGCUGUAUACAUGGAUAUGGAAAAGGUUUUUACAAGAUCAACAUCGAAGAAGUAGUCGCAAGCUGCAGUAUGACAAAGGAUUGUGGAUACACUGGAUACUACGGAAAUGAAAGUGGUGAGGUUUCUCGCUUUUUCUCCAACAGAAGGGAAGAGGCAAAUGACUGGGCCCUGACAUUUGGGCUCGUUGGAAAGCUGUUUGAAGAUGAUCCCGACUAUUCAUUCUAUACUCAUGUUGGUUUGCUAUCCAUAUCGGGAAUCCCUGGGGUUGGGAAAUCAGUGCUCUGUAGAUAUAUCUACAGCAAGGUAAUGCUUUCUAGUAGAAAGAGAUUUACAUCCUUCAGUUGGGUCGAUGUGCCACAACCCUUCAGUUUGAUGGAAUUAUGUUGGCGGCUACUUUUGGAUUUUCUUUCGGAUGAUCUCGAAGCAAAGGAAACUGCGACCAUUGGUAUGAUUGACGACGGUUCUCGGGAUCACAUUCAGGAGUGUCGUGAGUUUCUGCAUAAAGAAUGCUUUGUUGUUAUUGAUGGUCCGUGCUCUACACGUGAUUGGGACUUGAUCAGAGAUGCCCUCUCACCCGAGAAUACCAAAGGAUGCAUUCUUGUGAUUUCAAAUGAAACAAAUAUGGCCACAUAUUGUGUGUCUGAUAAAAAUCAAGUGGUCGGCACACAAGGUCUAGAACCUAAUGCAGCUCUUCUUCUUUUCGAAAAGGUAGCUUUUGGUGGCAAGCAAUUGAGUCCCGAGGAGACUGAGAUUUCAGAACUUAUCAUGGCCAAGUGUGGCGGACUUCCCAAAGUAAUAGCUGCUAUAGGGGAACAAUACAUAGCACGUGAAUGGGGCAUAGAUUUUCUGAAGAAGUUAAAUAAUGACUUCAUGGGUACGCUGGAGACUAUGCCAGAAUUCUAUAGUUUAAGGGGUCUGUUUGGUUGGAUGCAAUCCUACUUUGAUGCAUGUUCAGAUGCACUCAAGCCAUGUAUUUUCUAUCUCUCGGUCUUUCCGAUAGUCACUGAUGUGAGGCGAGGGAGGUUGCUGAGGCGGUGGAUCGCAGAGGGUUAUUCCAGGGACAAGUUUGAUAUUACUGCAGAGAAAGACGGUGAGAAUUUGUUCUAUGAGUUGGUCAAGUUGAGCAUAAUCCAGGAACCACCAGGACAGACUCAUGACGACAGGAGAAAAUCCAAUGAUCCAGACAGCAAAGUAGACAAUGUGUUCCAAGUCAAUGGUUUCUUCCAUGGAUACAUUAUCUCACGACAAUUGGAAGAUAACCUUGUGUUUGCACUGGAGGGGCACUGCAACCUGAACUCGCAACGUGUGGGGCAACACCUGACCAUUAGGAGCAGCUGGGACAGAGAUGAGAAUGUGUUCAAGAGCAUGGACUUGUCACGGCUACGGUCUUUGACAGUGUUCGGGGAAUGGAGGUCAUUCUUCAUCUCAACGGCGGACGGUAGCAGCAAUAUGAGACUGCUUCGGGUACUUGAUCUUGAGGACACGGCGUCAGGUGUAACAAAUGGUGUCCUCGAGCAGAUUGGGAAAUUACUUCCUCGUCUCAAGUUUCUGUCUGUACGAGGAUGCAAAGAAAUUACUCGUAUGCCAGACUCGUUGGGUGGCUUGAGACAGCUGCAGACUCUGGAUGUUAGCCACACCAAAAUAACCAAGUUGUCAUGUGCUAUCAUCAAACUGGUGAAGCUUCAGUACCUGUGUGCAGGCACCACUCAAGACGGCGAUGCACAGCCAGUAGCAGCUGACCCUGAUGGCAUGAGCAGAAGCCAAGCAGCAGCGGUUGACCAUGAUGGCAUGAGCAGUAGCCAAGCAGCAGCAGCUGACCGCGAUGACAUGAGCAGAAGCCAAACAGCAGUAGCAGUACCAGCCAUGGACGGUGAUGUGACGAGCACAAUCGAACCAGCAGCAAGAGCACCAGCCGAGGGUGAAAAUUCAUCGAGUACACCAAUGCAAUGGAGGAGUAAGACCGAACGCAACUUGGUGCAAUCCUAUUCUUGCAGCUGGUCGUCCAAGAAGAAGAAGAUGAUGAAGAAGAAGAAGCAGUUUGAUUAUGGCGGUGGUGUCAAGGUUCCUGCUGCAGGUUUUGGGAAUCUAACGGCCUUGCAUAGUCUUGGUAUUGUGAAUGUGAGUGGUGCAGGCGGGAAGGCCAUCCUCAAGGAUAUGGAGAAGCUUACCCAGUUGCACAAUCUCUGUGUGUCAGGCAUCAGCCAGAAAAACUGGGACAACUUGUGUUCAGUCAUCUCGGGUCACGGCCAUUUAGAGUCCUUGUCAGUGCGACUCGACUAUGAUGAGUCUGAGCAGGAGGGUGGUCUGUGUUGUUUAGAUGGCAUCUCCGAGCUACCAAAGACACUAGACAGCCUCAACUUUUAUGGGGGAAAUGUCUGUGCAUCCCCAACCUGGAUCUUGAGGAAUCCUCGGUUUUUUCAAGGUUUUUGGGGCUUGUUCAGGAACAAUCUUGUACUUACUCGUAUUGAGUUGACAGUAUCAACGCAAGAGGACAUAGACAGUCUUGGUAGAAUUGAAUGUGCAAACUUGUUUGCCCAUCUUUGUGUCAAGCCGAUUCAAGGCAGCUUGCUCCGUUAUGGUUGCGUUGGGUUAUUUGGCAUGCCCUGCGGAUCCGCCACAGUCAAGAUCGAAUGCAACAGCAACGAUUUAACGCUGGUUUUUGGACCUCAUUCAACGGAACAUGUGGAGGUGCUGGAGGUUAACUGCUUUUCUGCUACUGAGUCGUCUUUGGUGCUUUAUGGGCUAGAGGAACUAAGGAAUCUCAAGGAAGUGUGCCUCAAGGGUUCCUACAGCGACCAACUCAGGCAGUAUUUGCAGCAGCAAGUUGACAGGCUUGAAUACAACAAUCGGAAACCUGUGUUGAAGCUGGAGCCCCAACACUCAGCUCCAUCUACUCCUUGUGCGAGCCUGAAGCGCCUAUUUACAUGA
RNAcentral lists this ribosomal RNA (5136 nucleotides) under Triticum aestivum (bread wheat). Its description in RNAcentral is "partial small subunit ribosomal RNA". Lineage: Eukaryota; Viridiplantae; Streptophyta; Magnoliopsida; Poales; Poaceae. The record is from RNAcentral.